Molecule: ribosomal RNA, 256 nt
Filed under: uncultured bacterium
Lineage: Bacteria
Description: partial 16S ribosomal RNA
Rfam family: Bacterial small subunit ribosomal RNA
Source: RNAcentral
UACGUAGGGUCCGAGCGUUGUCCGGAAUUACUGGGCGUAAAGAGCUCGUAGGUGGUUUGUCGCGUUGUUCGUGAAAACUCACAGCUCAACUGUGGGCGUGCGGGCGAUACGGGCAGACUAGAGUACUGCAGGGGAGACUGGAAUUCCUGGUGUAGCGGUGGAAUGCGCAGAUAUCAGGAGGAACACCAAUGGCGAAGGCAGAUCUCUGGGCCGUAACUGACGCUGGAGGAGCGGAAAGCCAUGGGGAGCGAACAGG